UACGGAGGAUCCGAGCGUUAUCCGGAUUUAUUGGGUUUAAAGGGUGCGCAGGCGGGAUGUUAAGUCGGCGGUGAAACUCACAGGCUCAACCUGUGCCGUGCCGUUGAAACUGUGUAUCUGGAAUGCGGAUGCUGUGGGAGGAAUGUGUAGUGUAGCGGUGAAAUGCAUAGAUAUUACACAGAACACCGAUUGCGAAGGCAUCUCACAAAGCCGUUAUUGACGCUGAGGCACGAAAGUGUGGGGAUCAAACAGGA
This 254-nucleotide ribosomal RNA is filed under the name uncultured prokaryote. Its description in RNAcentral is "partial 16S ribosomal RNA". It matches the Rfam family "Bacterial small subunit ribosomal RNA", at positions 524 to 777 of the family's 1533-position model. The record is from RNAcentral.